UGAAAUUGAACUCGCUGUGAAGAUGCAGUGUACCCGCGGCAAGACGGAAAGACCCCGUGAACCUUUACUAUAGCUUGACACUGAACAUUGAGCCUUGAUGUGUAGGAUAGGUGGGAGGCUUUGAAGUGUGGACGCCAGUCUGCAUGGAGCCGACCUUGAAAUACCACCCUUUAAUGUUUGAUGUUCUAACGUGGACCCGUGAUCCGGGUUGCGGACAGUGUCUGGUGGGUAGUUUGACUGGGGCGGUCUCCUCCUAAAGAGUAACGGAGGAGCACGAAGGUUGGCUAAUCCUGGUCGGACAUCAGGAGGUUAGUGCAAUGGCAUAAGCCAGCUUGACUGCGAGCGUGACGGCGCGAGCAGGUGCGAAAGCAGGUCAUAGUGAUCCGGUGGUUCUGAAUGGAAGGGCCAUCGCUCAACGGAUAAAAGGUACUCCGGGGAUAACAGGCUGAUACCGCCCAAGAGUUCAUAUCGACGGCGGUGUUUGGCACCUCGAUGUCGGCUCAUCACAUCCUGGGGCUGAAGUAGGUCCCAAGGGUAUGGCUGUUCGCCAUUUAAAGUGGUACGCGAGCUGGGUUUAGAACGUCGUGAGACAGUUCGGUCCCUAUCUGCCGUGGGCGCUGGAGAACUGAGGGGGGCUGCUCCUAGUACGAGAGGACCGGAGUGGACGCAUCACUGGUGUUCGGGUUGUCAUGCCAAUGGCACUGCCCGGUAGCUAAAUGCGGAAGAGAUAAGUGCUGAAAGCAUCUAAGCACGAAACUUGCCCCGAGAUGAGUUCUCCCUGAGACUUUAGAGUCUCCUGAAGGAACGUUGAAGACGACGACGUUGAUAGGCCGGGUGUGUAAGCGCAGCGAUGCGUUGAGCUAACCGGUACUAAUGAACCGUGAGGCUUAACCUUAC
This 897-nucleotide ribosomal RNA is filed under the name Salmonella enterica subsp. enterica serovar Saintpaul str. S-70. RNAcentral's name for it is "bacterial LSU rRNA". It matches the Rfam family "Bacterial large subunit ribosomal RNA", at positions 2037 to 2925 of the family's 2925-position model. The record is from RNAcentral. Lineage: Bacteria; Pseudomonadati; Pseudomonadota; Gammaproteobacteria; Enterobacterales; Enterobacteriaceae.